This 468-nucleotide ribosomal RNA is filed under the name uncultured bacterium. RNAcentral describes it as "partial 16S ribosomal RNA". It matches the Rfam family "Bacterial small subunit ribosomal RNA", at positions 28 to 507 of the family's 1533-position model. The record is from RNAcentral.
GACGAACGCUGGCGGCGUGCUUAACACAUGCAAGUCGAACGGAAAGGCCCUGCUUUUGUGGGGUGCUCGAGUGGCGAACGGGUGAGUAACACGUGAGUAACCUGCCCUUGACUUUGGGAUAACUUCAGGAAACUGGGGCUAAUACCGGAUAGGAGCUCCUGCUGCAUGGUGGGGGUUGGAAAGUUUCGGCGGUUGGGGAUGGACUCGCGGCUUAUCAGCUUGUUGGUGGGGUAGUGGCUUACCAAGGCUUUGACGGGUAGCCGGCCUGAGAGGGUGACCGGCCACAUUGGGACUGAGAUACGGCCCAGACUGCAACGGGAGGCAGCAGUGGGGAAUAUUGCACAAUGGGCGGAAGCCUGAUGCAGCAACGCCGCGUGCGGGAUGAAGGCCGUCGGGUUGUAAACCGAUUUAGAAUGUGACGAAGAGUGAGUGACGGUAAUGGGUAAAGAAGCACCGGCUAACUACGUG